RNAcentral lists this ribosomal RNA (253 nucleotides) under uncultured bacterium. Its description in RNAcentral is "partial 16S ribosomal RNA". It matches the Rfam family "Bacterial small subunit ribosomal RNA", at positions 524 to 776 of the family's 1533-position model. The record is from RNAcentral.
UACAGAGGUCUCAAGCGUUGUUCGGAUUCAUUGGGCGUAAAGGGUGCGCAGGCCGCGCGGGCAGUCAAAUGUGUAAUUCAGGGGCUCAACCCCUGGACUGCGCUUGAUACUUCCGCGCUUGAACCUUGGAGAGGAGUCUGGAAUUCUCGGUGUAGCAGUGAAAUGCGUGGAUAUCGAGAAGAACACUAAGGGCGAAGGCAAGACUCUAGACAAGUGUUGACGCUCAUGCACGAAGGCUAGGGUAGCGAACGGG